AGCGAACGCUGGCGGCAUGCCUAACACAUGCAAGUCGCACGGGGGGGCUUCGGCCUCCCAGUGGCGGACGGGUGAGGAACGCGUAGGGACCUGUCGAGGGGUGGGGGAUAACCGCGGGAAACUUCGGCUAAUACCGCAUGACGCCGCGGCGUGACAGCCGGGGCCAAAGGCGAAAGCCGCCCGCCGAGGGGCCUGCGUCCGAUUAGCUGGUUGGCGGGGUAGCGGCCCACCAAGGCGUCGACCGGUAGCUGGUCUGAGAGGGUGAUCAGCCACACCGGGACUGAGACACGGCCCGGACUCCUACGGGAAGGAGCAGUGGGGAGUAUUGGACAAGGGGCGCAAGCCUGAUCCAGCAAUGCCGCGUGGGUGAAGAAGGUCGUCGGAUUGUAAAGCCCUUUCGGCGGGGACGAUGGUGACGGUACCCGCAGAAGAAGCCCCGGCUAACUUCGUG
This 451-nucleotide ribosomal RNA is filed under the name uncultured bacterium. Its description in RNAcentral is "partial 16S ribosomal RNA". It matches the Rfam family "Bacterial small subunit ribosomal RNA", at positions 28 to 507 of the family's 1533-position model. The record is from RNAcentral.